CUGGGGAAGAUGUUUCUCAGCAACAGUGCUACCCUGCUGGACAGCUGGUGAUUUUUACCAUAAAACAAGAUAGUAAUAAGGAUAGAAUGAGACACCACCGGCUUUGCUCCAUCCCUUUGGGAAGACAGCACACCCAGAGCUCAAGUCUGCUGCUCAUUCUGGAAGGGGAGAUGUCCUGGGCCCAGGGUUUGGAAAUGUCUUCUUGGACAAGCUUAAGCCGAACUUGUCUGAGGCAACAAAGAGAGCAAAGAGAAAGAUAAAGAUGGAGUCCUCAAAGAAUAAACAUGAUUAAGAGCAGAGCCCACAGCUCCAGAUGUGAAAACCAUGACUCGAUUGUCAGUGAGGAGAGACUGGUCCCUGGGGUUUGCUGACCUCCCAGGGAGCAAUGCAUUUCAGAGAGCUGUCAGAGCAGUUUUCUUCUUUAAGCCCUGGUUUGUUAAUUAUUAUUUUUUAUUAUUUAAAAAAUGUUUUCUAUCGAUACAUAAUAUUUGUAUAUAUUUGUGGAGCAGAUUUUAGAUUGCAGAAUUCAAUGGUCUAAGGGAGAAGAGAUGAACAAGCUUGAUGUAACAAGGAAGGUUAAGAGUGAUAUUUAAAUGGAAAGGGAAGUAUAUAUUUUAUUGUUUCCUGUUGCUGUAAUAAAUUAUCAAAAAUUGUCAUAAACUUAUAAACUGGCACAUUUAUAAACUCACAAACUUAUAAACUUAUAAACUGCCUUAAAAUAACAUGAAUUUAUUAUUUUACAGUUCUGGAGGUCAGAAGUCCAAGAUGGGUCUCCCUGGGCUAAAAUCAAGGUGUUGGGAGGCUGUGUUCCUUUCUGGAGGCUCUAACGGGGAAUCUGUUCUCUUGCCUUUUCCAACUUCUCAAAGCUGCAUGUGUUUCUUGGCUCGUGACUCCACACCACCCUGAUUUCUGCUUCCAUUGUUGCAUCUCCUUCUCCGACUCUGACCCUUCUGCCACCCUUUUAUGAGGAUCCCUGCUGUUAACAAUAUGUUCAUCAAAUAAUACAGAGUAAUUUCUCCUGCUUAAGAUCCUCAACAUUAUCACAUUUGCAAAGUCCCUUUUGCCAUCUAAGCUGACAUAUCCACAGGUUCCCGGUAUUGAUGUGUGGACACCUUUGGGGCAUGGGCGUUAUUCUGCCUACCAGUUUCCUAUUGCUUCUGUAACAAAUUACCAUAAAUGAAGUGGUUCAAAACAAUGCAGAAGUAUGAUAUUAUGGUCCUAGACAUUAGAAAUGCAAAAUGGGCUUAAGUGGGCUAAACUCAGGGUGUUGUUAGGAAUGCAUUCCUUUCUGGAGGCUAUAGGGCAGAAUCUAUUUCCUUGCCUUUUCCAGUUUCUAGAGGCUACCUGUAUUCAUUGCUUCGUGGUUUCCUUCCAUUUUUAGAGCCAGUAAAGGUCAGUCCAGUCUUUUUCACAUCGCACCACUCUGACACUGACAGUUCUGUAUCCCUCUUCCACUUACGAGGACCCUUGUCAUUCCAUUAGGCCCACCCAGGCAAUCCAGGGUAAUCUUCUGUCUUAAGGUCAACUGAUUAGCAACCUCAAUUCCAUCUGUAACGUUAAUUCUCCUUUGCCUUGAAACCUAACGUUUUUACAAGUUCUGGGGAUUAGGACAUGGAUAUAUUUGGGUGAGGGUCAUUAAUUUCCCUGCCACAAAUAUUAUCCUAUCGGAACUCCUAGUUCAAGAUACCAUUAACUCCAUUUUAUGGGUAAAGAAGCCCACUCAGAAGGGAGGUGCCUUACCCAAGGACACAGUUAUUUUCGGAAGCAGACUUAGAAUAGAACCCAAUUCUCUAUGACCCCAAAGCUUGGCUCUUUCCACUGAAAAUAUUAGAUACUGAAUGUGACUGAAAAUAUGCAGUGUCUAUCAUAGGCUGUAAAGACUGAUUAAAAUGAGAAGGGUCCUAAAGAAGAAUAUGGGAAUGUUCCCAAAAGAUCAGGGAAAGUCUCUUUUGUUGAGAAGCUUCUGAGAAACUAUCAAGCAUGCCAAAGAAGAGAGGGAGCAAGAAAUAAUACAGAAAAAAGAAAAAUAAAAAAAGAUUUCCAUAAAGCUUAGGACCAGGCAAAAGAUUUGGUGCUUCAAAUGCUUCUGCAAAUUUUUUUUGAUGAUGUCAUCAUACUAAUGGGAACUGGGAGAAAAGUUCUUUGAUCAGUGUUUGCAAAUUUCCUAAACCUUGGGUUAGUAUCUGACUGCUGUGUUUUAUUUGAUGUUAAUGAUUGAUAUAGUUUGGCUCUGUGUCCUCACCCAAAUUUCAUGUCAAAUUGUAAUUCCCAAUGU
RNAcentral lists this long non-coding RNA (2275 nucleotides) under Homo sapiens (human). Its description in RNAcentral is "HSALNT0390718". The record is from RNAcentral. Lineage: Eukaryota; Metazoa; Chordata; Mammalia; Primates; Hominidae.